RNAcentral lists this ribosomal RNA (434 nucleotides) under uncultured bacterium. Its description in RNAcentral is "partial 16S ribosomal RNA". It matches the Rfam family "Bacterial small subunit ribosomal RNA", at positions 29 to 507 of the family's 1533-position model. The record is from RNAcentral.
AGCGAACGCUGGCGGCAGGCCUAACACAUGCAAGUCGAACGAACAGUCCGGGGUUAGUGGCGGACGGCGGAGUAACACGUGGGAACGUGCCCUUAGGUUCGGAAUACCUCAGGGAAACUUGUGCUAAUACCGAAUGUGCCCUUCGGGGGAAAGAUUUAUCGCCUUUAGAGUGGCCCGCGUCUGAUUAGCUAGUUGGUUGAGGUAAUGGCGCACCAAGGCGACGAUCAGUAGCUGGUCUGGGAGGAUGCUCAGCCACAUCGGGACUGAGACACGGCCCAAACUCCUACGCAAGGGAGCAGUGUGGAAUGUUGCGCAAUGGGGGGAAGCCUGACGCAGCCAUGCCGCGUGAAUGAUGAAGGUCGUAGGAUUGUAAAAUUCUUUCACCGGGGACGAUAAUGACGGUACCCGGUGAAGAAGCCCCGGCUAACUUCGUG